AGAAAAUAGAUACCCGGGUAGUCCACGCCGUAAACGAUGUACACUAGACUGGUGCGGUUUUGACGCCGUAUCAGUCGCAGUAAAAAAAACGAUAAGUGUACCGCCUGGGGAGUACGGUCGCAAGGCUAAAACUCAAAUGAAUUGACGGGGGCUCACACAAGCGGUGGAGCAUGUUGCUUAAUUCGAGGCAACGCGAAGAACCUUACCUGGGCUUGACAUGUACGGAUUAACCCUAUGAAAGUAGGGCCACAGUCGCAAGACCGGAACGUGCACAGGUGCUGCAUGGCUGUCGUCAGCUCGUGCUGUGAAGUGUCGGGUUAAGUCCCUUUAACGAGCGCAACCCCUGUCGUUAGUUGCUCACGCGUCAUGGCGAGUACUCUAGCGAGACUGCCGGUGUCAAACCGGNGGAAGGUGGGGAUGACGUCAAGUCCUCAUGGCCCUUACGCCCAGGGUUGCAAACGUGCUACAAUGGUGCAUACAAAGCGAUGCGAGAUCGCGAGAUGGAGCAAAUCGCAAAAAAUGCACCCACGUUC
Molecule: ribosomal RNA, 533 nt
Filed under: uncultured bacterium
Lineage: Bacteria
Description: bacterial SSU rRNA
Rfam family: Bacterial small subunit ribosomal RNA
Source: RNAcentral